This 536-nucleotide ribosomal RNA is filed under the name Neoneura rurriventris. RNAcentral describes it as "partial 16S ribosomal RNA". It matches the Rfam family "Bacterial large subunit ribosomal RNA", at positions 1819 to 2619 of the family's 2925-position model. The record is from RNAcentral. Lineage: Eukaryota; Metazoa; Arthropoda; Insecta; Odonata; Coenagrionidae.
GUCCUUUUGACUUAUUUAGAAGGUCUGGCCUGCCCAGUGAAUUUAAUUAAACGGCCGCGGUAUUUUGACCGUGCAAAGGUAGCAUAAUCAUUAGUCUUUUAAUAGGGGGCUGGAAUGAAGGGUUUAACGAAACAUAAACUUUCUUAUUUAUAUAAAUUGAAUUUAACUUUUAAGUUAAAAGGCUUAAAUAUUUUUGGAGGACGAGAAGACCCUAUAGAGCUUUACAAUCAUCAUUUUUCUUUUAUUUAGUUAAAUUUAAUGUUUAAGAAAGCAUGAUUUUUGUUUUGUUGGGGUGACAAAAAUAUAUAAUUAACUUUUAUUAUAAUUUUAACAUUAAUUUAUGGGUUGUUGGAUCCAAUAUUAUUGAUCAUUAGAUUAAGUUACCUUAGGGAUAACAGCGUAAUCUUCUUUCAAAGUUCAAAUUUACAAGAAGGAUUGCGACCUCGAUGUUGGAUUAAGAUUAUUAUUAGGUGCAGUAGCUUAAUAAAUAGGUCUGUUCGACCUUUAAAUUCUUACAUGAUCUGAGUUCAGACCGG